AUGACCCUUCCUUGGUCACCCCUCUCAACUUCUGUCCAGCUUCCCAGGUUAAAGGCAUGGCAACUGAAGCCCAAAGAUGGGCAGCAUGGGGCCCAGGUCCCCACCAGAUGUGUGAAUGGAAUCUUUCCACGGUGCCCCCGACAGCAUCUCUGGAUUAGUCAAGGCUGCCAAGGAAACACGGAGAUGUACUUGCUCAGAAUUCCGGGGCAGAGGGUGGGCCGAUGUGAGAGAAGAAGGGCCCUUAGCGCUGACGCCGGUCAGGAGCUUCUGCAGACCCCAGGGCAGGCUGGACACUGUGCAAGAAGCUUCAGGGCUGAGGGAGCUGCAGAGUCACUAAGGAAUGAGCUGCUCCACGUCCGUGAAUAUGGUAAAUGGAACAAUGGCCCCAUCAACGAUGCGCACGUCCUACUCCGCAGAACCUGUGGAUGUGUCACCUUACAUGGCAAAGGGACUUCGCAGAGUAAGAGGUUAUCCCAGGUGACCCACUGGCCCCUAUGUCAUCAGGUGGAUCCUUUUUAGAGAGAGGUGAGAGGGUCAGCAUCAGAGGAAGGAGGUGUGACAACAGAGGCAGAGGUUGGAGUGACAUGCUUUGGAGACAGAGGAAGGCCAAGGAGUCCAGGAGACUCCUAGAAGUAGGAAAAGGCAAGGAGACAGAUGCUCCCCGACACCCCCAGAAGUAGCCUGGCCCUGCUCACCUCUGGAUUUUGGCCUUCUGACCUUCAGAGCUGUGAGGGAGUAAGUGUGUGCUUUUAUAAGCAUUAAACUUGUGAUUAUUUGUUAUGGCAGCAAUAGGAAAUGAAUACUAUGAAUGUUCCAGAAUGUGGUAUACUCAAGUAUUGUGAUAGUUUGUAUCAAAAAUGACUGUAACAGUAUCUCCAGUCCCACUAGCUUUUCCAGAGUUUUGACACUCCUCCAUCAGGGGUGGGGUCUGUUCUCCUUCCUGGGAAACUGUGUGGGCCUCUGUAACUGCUCUGAGGAAAGAAAUAGUGGGACUUUCAAUGCUCAAUCAUAA
RNAcentral lists this long non-coding RNA (1012 nucleotides) under Piliocolobus tephrosceles (Ugandan red Colobus). Its description in RNAcentral is "lncRNA (ENSPTEG00000025304.1)". Lineage: Eukaryota; Metazoa; Chordata; Mammalia; Primates; Cercopithecidae. The record is from RNAcentral.